CUGCGUGGAACACCUCCAGUCCUAAAGCUUGAGCCUCAGGAAAGCCUGUAAGAGAGCAUAUUUAUGUAAUAACGGCAAUCCAUGCGUCUGAAGUAGUUUUUAGUUUUCAUAAGGUUUUUAAAUAAGAUUUUUAUUUCACUUAAAUGAAUCUUCACAGUAAUCCCAUCAGGAAGGAAUAAAGCACCAGGACAACAAAUAGACCCUCUCUCUUAAGAACAGCCCGUUCUGCUAUUGGGUGACAGGUGUAUUAUCAGAAACCUGUGUUAUCAUAAGCCUCAUGUGAGAACUUUUAAUAGGGGAGGGAAAAAAGAAAAAAAAAGAACCCAAGUCCUGAAAAGCUUAGGACCUAAACAAAGAGGUGAACCUUAAACAAUGUCAGGAUUA
Herpailurus yagouaroundi (jaguarundi) is the source of this 384-nucleotide long non-coding RNA. RefSeq lists it as uncharacterized. NCBI's taxonomy places the organism in Eukaryota, Metazoa, Chordata, Mammalia, Carnivora, Felidae. The transcript has 2 exons. The record is from RefSeq and is a predicted model, not a curated record.